UACGUAGGGGGCAAGCGUUGUCCGGAAUCAUUGGGCGUAAAGAGCGUGUAGGCGGUUCGGUAAGUCGGCUGUGAAAGUCCAGGGCUCAACCCUGGGAUGCCGGUCGAUACUGCCGGACUAGAGUUCGGAAGAGGCGAGUGGAAUUCCCGGUGUAGCGGUGAAAUGCGCAGAUAUCGGGAGGAACACCUAUGGCGAAGGCAGCUCGCUGGGACGGUACUGACACUGAGGCGCGAAAGCGUGGGGAGCGAACAGG
RNAcentral lists this ribosomal RNA (253 nucleotides) under uncultured bacterium. RNAcentral's name for it is "partial 16S ribosomal RNA". It matches the Rfam family "Bacterial small subunit ribosomal RNA", at positions 524 to 776 of the family's 1533-position model. The record is from RNAcentral.